This 1368-nucleotide unclassified non-coding RNA is filed under the name Hevea brasiliensis (rubber tree). The record is from RNAcentral. Lineage: Eukaryota; Viridiplantae; Streptophyta; Magnoliopsida; Malpighiales; Euphorbiaceae.
CACUUCAUGCUUAUCCUACACCCUCUCAUAGGGAUGAGAAGCUCCAUUCUCACCAGCAUGAUGGAGCAAACUCAAAUGCUUCAUCAGCCCAACUUAAGCAGAGGAAGAAGGUAGGAGAUGAAGAUGAUUUCACAGUACCUGUAUUCGUUCAAUCUGGGAUAGACCAAUGUCUUCAUAAAAAUCAGAAUGGCAUUGAUGGGGAAAAGUUCACUUCUUUCAGCCAAAAUUACUUGGGUUCAAGAAAAAUACAAAAUGCUGGCAAUGCUAAUAAAAAUAAUAAUAUCUUCAGAGGUCCCAAUUUGAGACAGGAUGCAAGAAAUCAUAGUGACGGUAGCCUGGAGGUGUGUGUCUCAAGUAGGGAUAAUUCAGGAAGAUCUUCAAUGAAUUUACCAACUAGGGAAAGGAUAGAUAGGCCUGGGGAUGAAUCUUUGGAUCAACAAAAUGAAGGUCAACUUAGAUCUAGUUUUAACAAAUUGUCUGAAAGUGAUGAUUGUUUGCUACAAAAUGGCAGCGUACACGGUGAAGAUGUUCCUGAGCUUACAACAGAAACAGAGAAAGAUAACAUUCCCCGGUCAAGAAGUGACUCUCAUUCAAGGGAGGAUCUUGAUAGUCUCAAUGAGCCUGAAAUUGAUAGUGAAUUUUGUGGAGACAAGACAUGUAGGUCACUACAAUUGGGAAAUGGAGACAAAAGUGAUGAUGUCUCUGAGACCUCUAUGGUGGAUUCUAUAUCAGCAUUGGAUAUUUCUCCUGAUGAUAUUGUUGGAAUUAUCGGUCAGAAACAUUUCUGGAAAGCAAGAAGGGCAAUUGUCAAUCAACAAAGAUUGUUUGCAUGGCAAGUGUUUGAGUUGCAUAGACUGAUAAAGGUUCAACGACUGAUUGCUGCGUCGCCAAAUCUUUUGCUUCAAGACAUAACUUAUCUGGGGAAACAUUCUACUAAGGUUUCUCCUGCAGAGAAACUUCCUUCACAGUAUGUUGUAGCACCUCCAGUGCAUGUUGCCAAGCGCAAAGGAGAUUGUGAGAAACCAAACCAUAAGAUGGAAUGCUCUGCAGAGAAUGCAGUUGGGAAGACAUCACUUUCUUCUGUGAAAAGUGGUAGUCAGCCCUCUAAUUAUGGGUCUUACAUUGGGAACCCACUACCAGUUCCUGUGUCUACUGAUCCCAAAGUGGGUCCUUGGUGUUUCCAUCAUUCACUUGGGCAUCAGUGGUUAAUUCCAGUGAUGUCUCCUUCAGAAGGACUUGUAUACAAGCCAUACACUGCGCCGGGAUUCAUGGGUUCACCGUGUGGAGGAUGUGCACCUUUUGGGCCAACUCCUCUGAAUGGUAGCUUUAUGAAUCCAGCCUAUGGGAUUCCAGCUUCUCAUCCUCACC